UGCCGGAGGUGAGUUUGGUGAAUAAAACACUCCUCGGCGCUUUUUAAAAAAUAUUUGUAAUAGAUUUUUCUAGGAGUGGGCAGAUUAUGAUUAUGUACGAAAUUUUCUUUUUUAGUAACAAUUAGCCUCACAUCUGUCUGAUUUUUUCUAGUGUACAUCCAUUGUUCGACACAUUUGAAAAUUUUAUUUCUCCUUCAAAUGUGUUUUUUUUUUUUUUUUUUUUAGGUUUACAAUUAAUUGAUUUGUUUCAAAUCGUAUUAUAUGAG
RNAcentral lists this long non-coding RNA (266 nucleotides) under Mytilus galloprovincialis (Mediterranean mussel). Lineage: Eukaryota; Metazoa; Mollusca; Bivalvia; Mytilida; Mytilidae. The record is from RNAcentral.